Molecule: long non-coding RNA, 2837 nt
Organism: Corvus hawaiiensis (hawaiian crow)
Lineage: Eukaryota; Metazoa; Chordata; Aves; Passeriformes; Corvidae
Exons: 9
Source: RefSeq, a predicted model, not a curated record
ACACCAAGCUGUCAAAUGGGAGGAGGCUCUUUGAAGUGUGGAGAUAAGGACCCUUCUAACCUUCAGUCAGGUAUGAAAGCAGCAGCACAGGAGCGUGUCCUUCCACUGGACUCGUCGUGGAACAGCCCAGCUGAGUUCAUUCAGAUUCCUCAGAGGGGUUGGCACUGGCAGCUGGAUCAUCGCGGUGCCUUGAGAAAGGACUUCUGCACAGCAUUUCUCAUGUAAGCAGAAGCUCUUAGCACUGAAAAUCUUCCCAAAAAAGGAUUCCCCUGAGCUGUAAAACUGAGGUGAAGGCUUUCUCACUCCCCUCCAACUCUCCCUUUUCCCCUCCAUCUGGGUGCUAUGACUGGCAAAUGCCUUUGAGACCAUGGAAGGACAGAAAAUCAGUGUGGAAGAAGUGAGCUCUGGGAAAGAGAAGUCACAGCAGAUGCAAUUCCACCAAACAGCAGAGAAACAAAAGCAAAAGCCAGACAGUACUGACAAACAGAAAAGGAACGAGCAAGGAGCUGCCCCAGCACGGUCUUGUAGUGAAGAAGGAGGGCAAGGAGAGCCUGAUGCUGAUUUUUCCAGUCCUGACUGUGCCACAGUUGCUUUCUGUCACCUGGAUAUGAGCACACCGUGACUGCCGCCUUGACAUUGUGCCGAGCUGACAUCCCGACCGGUCUGACACUGAUGCCUUUGGGCAGAAAUCAGAGCCGGUUUGCUCCACGGCUCCGUGCAGCCACGACGCCGGCAGCGCCUCCCAGAGCCCCCCGUGCCCCGCUGGGGAAAUGGAGCGAGCACGUGGGCCCCAGCUGAACUCCGGGCCGAGCGCAGGCGUUAUCCGCACUCAUCCUCCUGCCCCUUUUCAGCUUUAAGUGUUCACGUUCACAUGGGUUUAUUUAUUUUUAUUUUCCCCCCCUUUUCUCUCCCUUUUUCCCUGGCCCGUGAGAGGGUUGGUUUCCUGUUUCUCCCCCGGCUGCAGAGUCCUUGGGGAGCUGGGUUUCCGUGAGCUGGAAAAGGAGUGCACAAGCGUCUGAUCAGCCCUUAUUAGUGUUGAGAAAGAUCUAAUGGGUCCUGGCUUCUGGGACCAUUACCUGUCAUUUACUUUUAUUAAGUCAGUGAUGAGAAAGUUUAAAAUUAAAGGCUUUGUAAAUUGGAUUGCAGUUCUAAAGGAAGGCACCGAGCAGGAAGCCAGUGCCUGAGCUUGCAGAUGGACCACUGGGAACAGCACCAGGCCAGGGCGUUUCUCUUCAGCUGCUUUGACAAAGGUCCUGUGCCCAGAGCGUGGGGAGAACAAAGCCUCGAGGUAUCUAGAAACCUUCAGCCAUGUGAACCAUGUAAUCCCUCCUUUGCCAGGCUGCUCAGGUUCAGACCUCCUGUUGAGGAGGAAGGGUGGUCUGCUGGUUGAGCCAUUACCUGGGCUGGGAGCUCCGUUCCGGCUGAAAUGAUCCCAGAGAAAUCAUGUCAUCUCCCUGUGGUUCUGGUUUAUAAGGAGAAGGACCUCGUGUUAGUAUUGAUUUUGUUUCCUACCUGUUGCCUGGUUUGGGGGCUCUUUGGCCCAGGUACUGUCUUUAACUCUUGUGCUUACAACAGAAGCUCCAACUCCUGUGGGUCUUCCAGGCAAAAAUAAAGGCUUUUGUUAAGUCUGUAGGAGAGAGCAAGUAGAAGGGAUGAGCCACCUAGUUAAGGUAAGCAUCUAAUUCUUAGGGGUUGUAGCAUUGUUGUAGUCUCUGCUUUUGAGACUUAAUCUUUGAGUUAACCACCCAAACACACUUGUGAGUGAAACACCCCAAUUGCACUAAAGCAAUGCAGCUAAUUAUGGUGUGACAAGGGAAGCUCAGGGGCCAACCCUAACCAAGAGCUGCUGUCACUUCUGUUUUCUCAGCUGAAUAAAAGUCUCGUGGUGACAUUGCUCUGAUGAGAAGCAGCAUGAACUGGUGGUUAAGAUUUGUGAAGAUUUGGAAGGGAUGCCCUCUGCCCAUCCCCUCUAACACCCCUACAGCCAAGCUCCAGGUGUGAGUCUCCACUUCUAGGAAGAUUCUCCUGUUUUUAAAGAACCAGGACUGAGAGCAGAGGCUCACAUCGUACAAAACCACAUCCUUCACCUUUCCCAGAGAGAUACCAAACCACACAGGCAGGAGGCACAGCAGCUCCUUGACUUCAGCUAAUUGCCAGGUUCCCUUGAAGGAGGAGUGAUGCCUUUCCCAAGUUUCUCUGCUAGGGAUGUGAGGAGCUGAUCUCCGAGCUAUUCAGUGGUUUCUUACAUCAUUCCUGUGUUCCCAGCCCUGCCACUCGACCACAAGGCUUUCAGAAGCAGGAAAGUUCCUCUGUCUGGUUCAGUGCCUGGUCACGGCGAGUUUUCCUGGCACAAACGAGUGGAAAGAGCACUUUGGCAUGGAAAGGAAAUGAGCAGCAGAGGGUGAAAGGUGUCCUGGCAGACACUUCCCACUUGUGUCCUCACCUCCCUGUCUCCAGCCGUCUUCAAAGGCUGCCCAGCUCCUGUGUCCUGCAAGUUCAAAACCCUGCAGCCCACUGGGACUGCAGAUGUGUGAAGGAGCACAAGGACUGCAGCUGAAUGACAGUCUUCUCCUCCGACUUGGAAAUCUGCUAGGUUGCUGCUGCUUUUCUGAGAGAUGAUUCUUGGCUUGUUAUCAAGUGAACUGCUAAUGAAUUAGUUACAUUUUUUAAAGAGUGAUGUGAGUCUGGGGACACCCAAGGAAUUCUUUCUCAGCCAGAAACAGAUCCUCAUUGAAAUGGACUCCAGGAGGUUGGAGUAGAUGAUCAGGGCAUUUUGUUGCCCUUAAAGGCAAGGAAAGAUGAGGGUAGAGCAGAGGAAGAUAAGAAGAAGAGUAGGC